Molecule: ribosomal RNA, 704 nt
Filed under: Halorubrum distributum
Lineage: Archaea; Methanobacteriati; Methanobacteriota; Halobacteria; Halobacteriales; Haloferacaceae
Description: partial 16S ribosomal RNA
Rfam family: Archaeal small subunit ribosomal RNA
Source: RNAcentral
AUUCCGGUUGAUCCUGCCGGAGGCCAUUGCUAUUGGGAUUCGAUUUAGCCAUGCUAGUCGUACGAGUUCAUACUCGUGGCGAAUAGCUCAGUAACACGUGGCCAAACUACCCUUCGGAGCACAAUACCCUCGGGAAACUGAGGCUAAUAGUGCAUACCACAGUCCACCUGGAAUGAGGAUUGUGCCAAACGCUCCGGCGCCGAAGGAUGUGGCUGCGGCCGAUUAGGUAGACGGUGGGGUAACGGCCCACCGUGCCAAUAAUCGGUACGGGUCAUGAGAGUGAGAACCCGGAGACGGAAUCUGAGACAAGAUUCCGGGCCCUACGGGGCGCAGCAGGCGCGAAACCUUUACACUGCACGCCAGUGCGAUAAGGGAAUCCCAAGUGCGCAGGCAUAGAGCCUGCGCUUUUGUUCACCGUAGGGAGGUGAACGAAUAAGGGCUGGGCAAGACCGGUGCCAGCCGCCGCGGUAAUACCGGCAGCCCGAGUGAUGGCCGAUUUUAUUGGGCCUAAAGCGUCCGUAGCUGGCUGCGCAAGUCCAUCGGAAAAUCCACCCGCUCAACGGGUGGGCGUCCGGUGGAAACUGCGUGGCUUGGGACCGGAAGGCGCGACGGGUACGUCCGGGGUAGGAGUGAAAUCCCGUAAUCCUGGACGGACCGCCGAUGGCGAAAGCACGUCGCGAGGACGGAUCCGACAGUGAGGGACG